UGGGGAAUUUUGGACAAUGGGGGAAACCCUGAUCCAGCCAUCCCGCGUGUGCGAUGAAGGCCUUCGGGUUGUAAAGCACUUUUGGCAGGAAAGAAACGUCAUGGGUUAAUACCCCGUGAAACUGACGGUACCUGCAGAAUAAGCACCGGCUAACUACGUGCCAGCAGCCGCGGUACUACGUAGGGUGCAAGCGUUAACUGGAAUUACUGGGCGUAAAGCGUGCGCAGGCGGUUCGGAAAGAAAGAUGUGAAAUCCCAGGGCUCAACUUUGGAACUGCAUUUUGAACUACCGGGCUAGAGUGUGUCAGAGGGAGGUGGAAUUCCGCGUGUAGCAGUGAAAUGCGUAGAUAUGCGGAGGAACACCGAUGGCGAAGGCAGCCUCCUGAGAUAACACUGACGCUCAUGCACGAAAGCGUGGGGAGCAAACAGG
Molecule: ribosomal RNA, 429 nt
Filed under: Acidobacteriota bacterium
Lineage: Bacteria; Pseudomonadati; Acidobacteriota
Description: Acidobacteria bacterium partial 16S ribosomal RNA
Rfam family: Bacterial small subunit ribosomal RNA
Source: RNAcentral